This 56-nucleotide small nucleolar RNA is filed under the name Pyrococcus furiosus DSM 3638. The record is from RNAcentral. Lineage: Archaea; Methanobacteriati; Methanobacteriota; Thermococci; Thermococcales; Thermococcaceae.
UGAGAUGAUGAAUAAACCCGUUGCUGAAAAAUGAUGAGAGGAUCGACUAGCUGACU